GGAAACAGUAUCUUCCUUCGGGACAGAGAGACAGGUGGUGCAUGGUUGUCGUCAGCUCGUGUCGUGAGAUGUUGGGUUAAGUCCCGCAACGAGCGCAACCCUUAUGGAUAGUUACUACGGAAGAGGACUCUAUUCAGACUGCCGUUGACAAAACGGAGGAAGGUGGGGAUGACGUCAAAUCAUCAUGCCCUUUAUGACUUGGGCUACACACGUACUACAAUGGCGUUCAACAAAGAGAAGCGAAGCCGCGAGGCAGAGCAAAACUCAAAAACAACGUCCCAGUUCAGAUUGCAGGCUGCAACUCGCCUGCAUGAAGUCGGAAUUGCUAGUAAUCGCAGAUCAGCAUGCUGCGGUGAAUACGUUCCCGGGCCUUGUACACACCGCCCGUCACACCAUGAGAGCCGGGGGGACCCGAAGUCGGCAGUCUAACCGCAAGGAGGACGCCGCCGAAGGUAAAACUGGUGAUUGGGGUGAAGUCGUAACAAGGUAGCCGUAGGAGAACCUGCGGCUGGAUCACCUCCUUUCUAGGGAG
RNAcentral lists this ribosomal RNA (532 nucleotides) under Faecalibacterium sp. An121. RNAcentral describes it as "bacterial SSU rRNA". It matches the Rfam family "Bacterial small subunit ribosomal RNA", at positions 1002 to 1533 of the family's 1533-position model. Lineage: Bacteria; Bacillati; Bacillota; Clostridia; Eubacteriales; Oscillospiraceae. The record is from RNAcentral.